AGGGUUUGACUACUCUGACCUCUAUGUAUUACGAAUCAGAUAUCUCCCUGUACAGAGCUUCAAUGACUAUGCAGUUUGUCUCUAAUAAAACUAGACUGAAUAAGGAAUCUGUACAUAUAAAUCAUGACUUCUAAUUAUCUCUGUAAAUUUUAUGGUGAAUUUAAAAAGUUAGAAUAGGGGAUCCAGAAAUUGCUCUGGCC
Molecule: long non-coding RNA, 200 nt
Filed under: Gossypium barbadense (sea-island cotton)
Lineage: Eukaryota; Viridiplantae; Streptophyta; Magnoliopsida; Malvales; Malvaceae
Description: long non-coding RNA (GBAR_LNC010375)
Source: RNAcentral